This 46-nucleotide non-coding RNA is filed under the name Trypanosoma brucei brucei. Lineage: Eukaryota; Euglenozoa; Kinetoplastea; Trypanosomatida; Trypanosomatidae. The record is from RNAcentral.
AACAACAAAUACAGAUUCGAGUAAGUGAUAUAGUAAUAUGAUAUUU